GCCUUAGCUCAGAGGUAGAGCAUCUGCCUUGUAUGCGGAAGGUCCUAGCUUUAGUCUCUGGCAUCUGCA
This is a non-coding RNA of Podarcis lilfordi (Lilford's wall lizard), 69 nucleotides long. NCBI's taxonomy places the organism in Eukaryota, Metazoa, Chordata, Lepidosauria, Squamata, Lacertidae. The record is from the annotation of a GenBank genome assembly.